Molecule: long non-coding RNA, 285 nt
Organism: Tachysurus fulvidraco (yellow catfish)
Lineage: Eukaryota; Metazoa; Chordata; Actinopteri; Siluriformes; Bagridae
Exons: 2
Source: RefSeq, a predicted model, not a curated record
ACUGCUGUGUGUGCACUUUGGAUGGGUUAAAUGCAGAGAACAAAUUCUAAAGACUCCAGUCUGUUUUACUGACACAUCAAACAACAAAAGUAAUCAGUAAGUAAAUCUUUAUUAUAUUUAUGUUCAAAGUCAUCAUCAUGUUGUAUUUGUGCUUCUGUGGUUUAAGUCUGCCAUCUUUUUAAUCUCGAUUUCUUUAUCUCAUCUUCAUAAUCUCUAUCCAACAGCCCUACAGGGGACAUUUUUAUCCACAUGAAUCAAUUCAUAUGUACAGGUUUUAUAAUCAUA